This 222-nucleotide unclassified non-coding RNA is filed under the name Hevea brasiliensis (rubber tree). Lineage: Eukaryota; Viridiplantae; Streptophyta; Magnoliopsida; Malpighiales; Euphorbiaceae. The record is from RNAcentral.
AACUUGCACCUCUGGAUAUGCUGUUGGGGUCCUCAUUGGUGAUAAGUUACACCUCAAUCCUGUUCAUGCAGUUGUACAACUCCGGCCAUCAAAGCGGAAUCUUAAGGAAAGUGAGUUGAAGAAGAACAUUAUCACCAACAAUGAUGAAAAAAGUGUUGAAAAUGAAGACGUCAAGGAGAAAAGGCCCGUGGGACCAUCAAAGAAGCAGAACAAAUCACCUGG